AAUGUCAACAUGUAAUAACAAUCCACUAUGAAAAUAAAAGACUACAAGGUGAUUGCAGCCUCCGCGGACUCAAACAUUUCUUUUAUCUUCUAUGGACCCGCACACACCAUUGGGUAGUCCACGCCCCACGUCCGACUCCACAGACACCACUUGAAUCCACAAGCACCAACGAUUUGAAUUCACGAAUCGUCUUGAUUACAUCGAAUUCAUGAUGCCUGUCACACCCCAAUAAUCUCAUAUCGGAUAUGAAUGGGAAUGUGAUUGGGUAUAUAAGAGACUUAGACACUAGUAAUAAUAACUGGGCUUAAGCAUUUUGGGCAGGUGGCUGGACCCAACAAGUUAUUAUUGCUAGUGAGCUAGGUCGUUA
Molecule: long non-coding RNA, 367 nt
Filed under: Ananas comosus (pineapple)
Lineage: Eukaryota; Viridiplantae; Streptophyta; Magnoliopsida; Poales; Bromeliaceae
Description: long non-coding RNA (ACOM_LNC039288)
Source: RNAcentral